UCGGGAAUUUUGGGCAAUGGGCGAAAGCCUGACCCAGCAACGCCGCGUGAAGGAUGAAGUAUUUCGGUAUGUAAACUUCGUAAGAAUAGGAAGAAUAAAUGACGGUACUAUUUGUAAGGUCCGGCUAACUACGUGCCAGCAGCCGCGGUAAUACGUAGGGACCAAGCGUUGUUCGGAUUUACUGGGCGUAAAGGGCGCGUAGGCGGCAUGACAAGUCACUUGUGAAAUCUCUGGGCUUAACCCAGAACGGCCAAGUGAUACUGUCGCGCUAGAGUGCAGAAGGGGCAAUCGGAAUUCUUGGUGUAGCGGUGAAAUGCGUAGAUAUCAAGAGGAACACCUGAGGUGAAGACGGGUUGCUGGGCUGACACUGACGCUGAGGCGCGAAAGCCAGGGGGAG
This 397-nucleotide ribosomal RNA is filed under the name uncultured bacterium. Its description in RNAcentral is "bacterial SSU rRNA". It matches the Rfam family "Bacterial small subunit ribosomal RNA", at positions 355 to 769 of the family's 1533-position model. The record is from RNAcentral.